Long non-coding RNA from Prosopis cineraria, 348 nucleotides. RefSeq lists it as uncharacterized. The transcript has 3 exons. NCBI's taxonomy places the organism in Eukaryota, Viridiplantae, Streptophyta, Magnoliopsida, Fabales, Fabaceae. The record is from RefSeq and is a predicted model, not a curated record.
UUAGAGAAAAUUGCAACUUUGGGCCCAAAGGUUUGAAUAAUUAAAUUCAAACCUAUAGUUUUUUUUAAUAUAAUUUUGGGACUCACAAUCUCAUUUUUAUAUUAUUUUUCUCUCUUCCUCUCACGGUGCUCGGCGUUUUCUCGCAAGGGGGGAUUAUUUUCUUUUUUCUUCAGAUUAUAUUGACAAAGAUAGUGGUGAAAAAGGAGUUGUGAAGGGGAACUUGUUAUUCAAGACACAAGGAGCGAAUCCGGCCGAGAAAGCACCAGAGGUGUAAUUAUGGUGUAUGAGACACCAUCUUUUACGUUGCCUCUUAUUUUGGAUUAUACAAUGUAUCUUGUGCCAACUUAG